AUUGAACGCUGGCGGCAGGCUUAACACAUGCAAGUCGAGCGGAGAUGAGGUGCUUGCACCUUAUCUUAGCGGCGGACGGGUGAGUAAUGCUUAGGAAUCUGCCUAUUAGUGGGGGACAACAUUCUGAAAGGAAUGCUAAUACCGCAUACGCCCUACGGGGGAAAGCAGGGGAUCUUCGGACCUUGCGCUAAUAGAUGAGCCUAAGUCGGAUUAGCUAGUUGGUGGGGUAAAGGCCUACCAAGGCGACGAUCUGUAGCGGGUCUGAGAGGAUGAUCCGCCACACUGGGACUGAGACACGGCCCAGACUCCUACGGGAGGCAGCAGUGGGGAAUAUUGGACAAUGGGGGGAACCCUGAUCCAGCCAUGCCGCGUGUGUGAAGAAGGCCUUUUGGUUGUAAAGCACUUUAAGCGAGGAGGAGGCUACCGAGAUUAAUACUCUUGGAUAGUGGACGUUACUCGCAGAAUAAGCACCGGCUAACUCUGUGCCAGCCGCCGCAGUAA
RNAcentral lists this ribosomal RNA (501 nucleotides) under uncultured bacterium. Its description in RNAcentral is "partial 16S ribosomal RNA". It matches the Rfam family "Bacterial small subunit ribosomal RNA", at positions 30 to 523 of the family's 1533-position model. The record is from RNAcentral.